CUACGGGAGGCAGCAGUGGGGAAUAUUGCACAAUGGGCGGAAGCCUGAUGCAGCAACGCCGCGUGAGGGAUGACGGCCUUCGGGUUGUAAACCUCUUUUAGCAGGGAAGAAGCGAGAGUGACGGUACCUGCAGAAAAAGCGCCGGCUAACUACGUGCCAGCAGCCGCGGUAAUA
Molecule: ribosomal RNA, 174 nt
Filed under: uncultured Microbacterium sp.
Lineage: Bacteria; Bacillati; Actinomycetota; Actinomycetes; Micrococcales; Microbacteriaceae
Description: partial 16S ribosomal RNA
Rfam family: Bacterial small subunit ribosomal RNA
Source: RNAcentral